Molecule: ribosomal RNA, 553 nt
Filed under: uncultured bacterium
Lineage: Bacteria
Description: bacterial SSU rRNA
Rfam family: Bacterial small subunit ribosomal RNA
Source: RNAcentral
AAUAGAUACCCGGGUAGUCCACGCCCUAAACGAUGUAUACUGGCUUCAGGGACUUCUGACAGUUUCUGGAGCGUAGGGAAACCGUUAAGUAUACCGCCUGGGAAGUACGGUCGCAAGAUUAAAACUCAAAGGAAUUGACGGGGGCUCACACAAGCGGUGGAGCAUGUGGCUUAAUUCGAAGCAACGCGAAGAACCUUACCUAGGUUUGACAUGUUUGGAUGUUGCUCUGGAAACAGAGUUAACUGCCUUCGGGUGAAACUUACACAGGUGCUGCAUGGUUGUCGUCAGCUCGUGCCGUGAGGUGUUGGGUUAAGUCCCGUAACGAGCGAACCCUUGCUGUUAGUUGCCAGCGAGUAAUGUCGGGCACUCUAACAGGACUGCCGGCGUUAAGCCGGAGGAAGGUGGGGACGGACGCCAAAUACAUCAUGGCCUUUUAUGCCUAGGGAUGCACACGUGCUACAAUGCCUGGUACAAAUCGACGCUUAGCCGCGAGGUGAAGCAAAUCGACAAAAAACCGACGGCCCGACGUUCAGAUUACAGUCUGCAACACGAC